CAGCAGCCGCGGGAAUACGUAGGUGGCAAGCGUUGUCCGGAAUUAUUGGGCGUAAAGCGCGCGCGGGUGGUUUAGUAAGUCUGAUGUGAAAGCCCACGGCUCAACCGUGGAGGGUCAUUGGAAACUGGGAAACUUGAGUGCAGAAGAGGAGAGUGGAAUUCCACGUGUAGCGGUGAAAUGCGUAGAGAUGUGGAGGAACACCAGUGGCGAAGGCGACUCUCUGGUCUGUAACUGACGCUGAGGAGCGAAAGCGUGGGGAGCGAACAGGAUUAGAUACCCGCGUAGUCCCUGUCUCUUAUAC
Molecule: ribosomal RNA, 301 nt
Filed under: uncultured bacterium
Lineage: Bacteria
Description: partial 16S ribosomal RNA
Rfam family: Bacterial small subunit ribosomal RNA
Source: RNAcentral